Molecule: ribosomal RNA, 468 nt
Filed under: uncultured bacterium
Lineage: Bacteria
Description: partial 16S ribosomal RNA
Rfam family: Bacterial small subunit ribosomal RNA
Source: RNAcentral
GACGAACGCUGGCGGCGUGCUUAACACAUGCAAGUCGAACGGAAAGGCCCUGCUUUUGUGGGGUGCUCGAGUGGCGAACGGGGGAGUAACACGUGAGUAACCUGCCCUUGACUUUGGGAUAACUUCAGGAAACUGGGGCUAAUACCGGAUAGGAGCUCCUGCUGCAUGGUGGGGGUUGGAAAGUUUCGGCGGUUGGGGAUGGACUCGCGGCUUAUCAGCUUGUUGGUGGGGGAGUGGCUUACCAAGGCUUUGACGGGUAGCCGGCCUGAGAGGGUGACCGGCCACAUUGGAACUGAGAUACGGACCAGACUCCUACGGGAGGCAACAGUGGGGAAUAUUGCACAAUGGGCGGAAGCCUGAUGCAGCAACGCCGCGUGCGGGAUGACGGCCUUCGGGUUGUAAACCGCUUUCGCCUGUGACGAAGCGUGAGUGACGGUAAUGGGUAAAGAAGCACCGGCUAACUACGUG